Long non-coding RNA from Rhinichthys klamathensis goyatoka, 859 nucleotides. RefSeq lists it as uncharacterized. Lineage: Eukaryota; Metazoa; Chordata; Actinopteri; Cypriniformes; Leuciscidae. The transcript is spliced from 3 exons. The record is from RefSeq and is a predicted model, not a curated record.
GAGGAAGAGGAAGAGGAAGACAAGAAGGUGCUCAAAGAGGGCCGAAUCUGACAAAUGAGAUCCGCGCAACACUGGUUGACCACGUUGUCAACCACGGCCUGACGCUGAGGGAGGCCGGACUAGGAGUACAGCCAAAUCUAAGCCGAUACACAGUGGCAAGUGUGAUAAGAACAUUUCGACUGGAAAAUAGGAUUGAGGGUCAGGAACGACAAGGGGGAAGGCCUCCUAUGUUCACAGAACAGCAAGUGAGGGAGAUAGUAAACGUGGUUUUGGCCAACAAUGCUAUAACACUCAAUCAGCUCCAAGCUAACAUUGUCAAUAACCACGCCAGUUUCAACGAUAUCCAUCAGGUCUCAACAUCAACACUGGCACGCACCCUAAAAAAAAAACAUUAUUCAAAUGAAGCAAAUUUAUCGAGUGCCUUUCGAGCGCAAUUCCGAAAGGGUGAAACGACUGCGGCAUGAUUAUGCAGAGAGAGUUUUACGAAUGGAUGGAGAGGAGAUCCAGCAUGAGUUCAUUUACGUAGAUGAGGCUGGGUUCAACCUGACGAGAACACGAAGGAGGGGAAGAAACAUCAUUGGCCACAGGGCUAUAGUCCAUGUCCCAGGGCAACAUGGGGGUAAUAUAACACUCUGUGCAGCCAUUACACAGAAUGGGGUCCUCCACCGCCAUGCCCAUAUGGGCCCUUACAACACAGCACUCAUACUUACAUUCUUGGACCAAUUGCACAACAUAACAGCAGCAAAUCAAAUCGAUCAUAAUGCAAUACAUUGUUGUCUGGGACAAUGUGUCUUUCCACCGCUCUGCUCUGGUUCAGAACUGGUUUCAGCAACAUCCACAUUUCACCGUCCUAUAUCUU